Molecule: ribosomal RNA, 519 nt
Filed under: uncultured eukaryote
Lineage: Eukaryota
Description: SSU rRNA
Rfam family: Eukaryotic small subunit ribosomal RNA
Source: RNAcentral
AGGGCACCACCAGGAGUGGAGCCUGCGGCUUAAUUUGACUCAACACGGGGAAACUUACCCGGCCUGGACACUGGAAGGAUUGACAGAUUGAGAGCUCUUUCUUGAUUCAGUGGGUGGUGGUGCAUGGCCGUUCUUAGUUGGUGGAGCGAUUUGUCUGGUUAAUUCCGAUAACGAACGAGACUCUAGCCUAUUAAAUAGGCUCUCGGCUUUUAAACGCCGGGAGGACUUCUUAGAGGGACAGGUGGCGGUUCAGCCGCACGAAAGAGAGCAAUAACAGGUCUGUGAUGCCCUUUGUUGUCCGGGGCCGCACGCGCGCUACACUGAAGAGAUCAGCGUGCUUUACGUUCCUGCUCCGACCGGAGUGGGGAACCCAGUGAACCUUCUUCGUGAUUGGGAUAGAAGAUUGUAAUUAUUCUUCUUGAACGAGGAAUUCCCAGUAAAUGCGAGUCAUAAGCUCGCGUCGAUUACGUCCCUGCCCUUUGUACACACCGCCCGUCGCUACUACCGAUUGAACGAUCU